AUAGUGUAUAUUAAAAUUGUUGCAGUUAAAAAGCUCGUAGUUGAAUUUUAGGCCCGGUUGGAUGGUCUGCUCUAGGGUUUGCACUGUCCUGACUGGGUCUUCCUUUCUGGUGAGCUGUCGUGCUGUUUACUCAGUGCGGCAGGGAGCCAGGACUUUUACUUUGAAAAAAUUAGAGUGUUUAAAGCAGGCAUUCGCUUGAAUACAUUAGCAUGGAAUAAUAAAAUAGGACUUUGGUUCUAUUUUGUUGGUUUCUAGGACCGAAGUAAUGAUUAAUAGGGAUAGUUGGGGGCAUUAGUAUUUAAUUGUCAGAGGUGAAAUUCUUGGAUUUAUGAAAGACUAACUUCUG
RNAcentral lists this ribosomal RNA (346 nucleotides) under uncultured eukaryote. RNAcentral describes it as "SSU rRNA". It matches the Rfam family "Eukaryotic small subunit ribosomal RNA", at positions 594 to 945 of the family's 1831-position model. The record is from RNAcentral.